Molecule: RNA transcript, 1982 nt
Organism: Lates calcarifer (barramundi perch)
Lineage: Eukaryota; Metazoa; Chordata; Actinopteri; Centropomidae
Exons: 4
Source: RefSeq, a predicted model, not a curated record
UUUCACCUGGAAAUAUAUGUGUGUGCUCUUGACAGCUCUGAGGACCACUGUCAGAUUAACUGGAGAAUUACUUCACAUCAACAUCAUAUGGCGUCAGAGCCAUGAGGUGGAUGCACAGGCAAGCAGAUUGAGACGAAGACUGUUCGUGUUGGAGAUGAUGUACACCUGACAUGUCCCCGCAUAGGUUCAGGAACCUUGUUUUGGAUCAGGCUUGUUUCAGGAAACCUUCCUAAAAUCUUAGGAAAAACAUAUAGCUACGAGCCUGAUCCUCGCAUUACAGCCACCGAGGGGCAUGGAACAUUUGAUCUGCAUAUUGGAAAAGCAAAGCUAAGUGAUGCAGCAGUUUACUACUGUGUGAAAACACAACAAGGAGAAUUAAUAUUUUUAGAAGGAACAGACCUGAGAGUUGAAGGACCACAACCUGUUACCACUGCAAUCCCUACGUCUGAUCCAGUCCACACAGAAGACUCUGUGACUCUCCAGUGUUCAGUCCUCUCAGACUCUGAGAACAAAACACAUCUAGAAGAAAAGUACAUGUGCUGUUUUAGAGCUGGAUCACAUCAGUCUCUCCCAAGUUUUAAUUAUACUCAAGGAGACAGUGUUUAUGAGAAUAAAACGAACCCAGAGGGAGUCUCAACAAAUAAAUGUAUCCACAGCUUCUUGAAGAACAUCAGCUGCUCUGAUGCUGGGACUUAUCACUGUGCUGUGGCCAAAUGUGGAGAGAGAUUCUCUGAUAAGAGAUCAAAUCUCACUACUGAAGGUAAGUGCAUCAUAUUUCCAUAUAAUAAGAAAAAUAACUAUUUUUGUUUUUGAUUGGGCUUAAGAAUUUGUUCUCUGACAUCAUAUGAUAAAUUAUAAGUUACACUUCUACCAAUUAAUUUUUCAUUUCAUUUGUGCUCUUUUUCAUUUUAUCUCAGCAGUAAAUGUUGACCAAGUGCAGGACAAAACAGUUCUCUGUCUGUUAUGUGCUGCUUUGGCUAUAAGUCUGAUUGUUAUAGCCUUUCUCAUUUAUUUAAUCAAGAAACUCAAGAAAAAUUCUUAUCGCUGUUACAGUAAGUGAAGUCACUCAUAUAUCGAUCUAUCAAACAAUAUUUGGUAAAGUUGCAUCUUCCCUAACACUGUGGUUUUAUUUUGUGAUACAGCUGCUGUUGCUCUGCAAACUAAUGCAACAGCCAGUGGUAAUCAGGAGCGUCAGCAGACAGAUGAGGAUUCAUUGGUUUAUUCUGCACCAACCUUCACCAGUAGAAAAGCUAGUAAAACAGUGACAAGGGAUACAAAAACGACAGAAGAGGAGAGUAUCUACACUGAUGUCAGAACUCUUGGGUUGGAUUAAUAGUCUGAUCAUCUAAACACUGCAUUUGUUAAUUGAUACUGAUAUAAUUUUGUUGGCACACUGUGAGGGAAAUGCACACUGAAACUUAAUUUCACCUCUGAAGUCAACAGAAAAAUAUCCAUGUAUAUUUGAUAACCUAAAAAUAAUAUUUCUUUUUGACAUAAUGUGGUUUUGUAAAGAAAGUUAAUCAUAACACAAAAUAAGUACAUGUAACAGUUAAGCUUUUGCCACUAGACCUAUGUAGUAGGACUCACAUAUCUAUAAACAUUCAUUUAAUUGCACAGUUUUUAUCAAAGUUGUUUGUUCUUUUGUCUGUUUGUAUGAAUAUUUAUAUUUAUUUUCAAGUCUGUAAACUUCUUCAAUGACCCACGUCUAUGUUCCAAUGUCAUGUCAGAGUACUGUAAUGUACUGACAGGAAAUGGGUGAGUAGAUGUGUUGCUUCAUUCUGAAUAGACAAAUACAUUUAAUAACCAGAUGCUAUAAUAAAAACUUGAUUUUUAAUUUGCCAUUUACUAAAACUGUCUGUUGUCAUUUUGCUUCUGCAUAGCUAUACACCUAAAUCAGUGUGAGAAGCUUGAAAGUAUUGUUAAAUGAGUAAAUGAAUAUAACACAGCAUAAACAACUAUUAAAACAAUAAUUCUUGAUGUAA